Long non-coding RNA from Anguilla anguilla (European eel), 957 nucleotides. RefSeq lists it as uncharacterized. The record is from RefSeq and is a predicted model, not a curated record. NCBI's taxonomy places the organism in Eukaryota, Metazoa, Chordata, Actinopteri, Anguilliformes, Anguillidae. The transcript is spliced from 3 exons.
AGCCUAUCUUUGGCUGAGGCCCCACAUCCAGUAGUCAGCAUGGUGGCGUUGAAAGGUCAAAUUGCAGUAAUAUUACCAGAUCGCACUAGUAUUCCAACGCUGAAGAAACGUUGAAAUUACAAUGGAGUAAUGCAAACGAUUGAUAAAGGUAAUGAUAGGCCUAUAUAUGGCCAAUGCGACGUUUAUCUCGGGACUGUGCAGCUCUGUGCCACUUCCAUUUUUCCUAACAUUCAAAAUACCGCAAACGUUUGGAUUGUUUGAGGAAGUUCGAGGAGUGUGCAAGCACCUGUACAACUGUUCUUGCCACCUGCGCUACAUACACGCAAUGGCCAUUUGAGCGUUUCUUCAAGAGGGAUUUGACAAGGAAAUUCAGAAUUGAGCGGAAUGACAAGAGAUUAAUUCGCCAGGAAAACGCCUUCUUCCACGCAACUAACUGCAGGCUGUGGGGUGAACAUCUCCGUGCUGCGAGCCCCGAGCUCCGUUUCCAUGACGCUCCCCCCGAGAGACGGAUGACAUCGAUUUUCACCUCCGCCACACUCCUGCCUCCGGCGGACAAAUUUCCCAUCAGCAGCUAUAAGCGAGGUAAACAUCUGAGUUUCUAUCAGCGGCCAGCAAUGUGUGAAAUGGUGCCCAUCUCGGUCCCUGUGUGGCCCUGCACCCCUCCUCUUCGCCGGAGCCCCUGUAGCUCCGCUUGUCUAUUGUUCGCGGGGGACGAGACAUUUUGGAGAGCGAGGCCCGUGUUGAUUCUGUGUCUAGCCCGGUGAGGCUCCAGGGCACAGGACCUUAUCCAUCACUCUGAUUAACGUGCCACUGGGUGCCCCCUCUCCCCGCUAGAUUAGCCAUGGAGGAUGCUGCCCUGUUGUCUCAAGUGCAUUUUUCUAUUGAAUUAUCUUUUUGGAAUUAUUGCUACUGUUACUAGCUUUAUCCCUAGUGACUGAUUCUACUACCUUUAAGUAA